This 523-nucleotide ribosomal RNA is filed under the name uncultured Pseudomonas sp. RNAcentral's name for it is "bacterial SSU rRNA". It matches the Rfam family "Bacterial small subunit ribosomal RNA", at positions 1 to 523 of the family's 1533-position model. The record is from RNAcentral. Lineage: Bacteria; Pseudomonadati; Pseudomonadota; Gammaproteobacteria; Pseudomonadales; Pseudomonadaceae.
UUGAGUUUGAUCAUGGCUCAGAUUGAACGCUGGCGGCAGGCCUAACACCUGCAAGUCGAGCGGCAGCACGGGUACUUGUACCUGGUGGCGAGCGGCGGACGGGUGAGUAAUGCCUAGGAAUCUGCCUGGUAGUGGGGGAUAACGCUCGGAAACGGACGCUAAUACCGCAUACGUCCUACGGGAGAAAGCAGGGGACCUUCGGGCCUUGCGCUAUCAGAUGAGCCUAGGUCGGAUUAGCUAGUUGGUGAGGUAAUGGCUCACCAAGGCGACGAUCCGUAACUGGUCUGAGAGGAUGAUCAGUCACACUGGAACUGAGACACGGUCCAGACUCCUACGGGAGGCAGCAGUGGGGAAUAUUGGACAAUGGGCGAAAGCCUGAUCCAGCCAUGCUGUUUUUUUGAAGAAGGUCUUCGGAUUGUAAAGCACUUUAAGUUGGGAGGAAGGGCAGUUACCUAAUACGUAUCUGUUUUGACGUUACCGACAGAAUAAGCACCGGCUAACUCUGUGCCAGCAGCCGCGGUAC